ACCCACGUGGUGUAGUGGUCAGCACGCUCGGCGCGUAUUCGAGAGGUCCGUGUGGUUCGAGUCCCGGCGAGGGCA
Molecule: transfer RNA, 75 nt
Filed under: Stegodyphus mimosarum
Lineage: Eukaryota; Metazoa; Arthropoda; Arachnida; Araneae; Eresidae
Rfam family: tRNA
About the family: Transfer RNA (tRNA) molecules are approximately 80 nucleotides in length. Their secondary structure includes four short double-helical elements and three loops (D, anti-codon, and T loops).
Source: Rfam by way of RNAcentral